Molecule: unclassified non-coding RNA, 334 nt
Filed under: Microporellus obovatus
Lineage: Eukaryota; Fungi; Basidiomycota; Agaricomycetes; Polyporales; Polyporaceae
Description: partial contains 5.8S ribosomal RNA, internal transcribed spacer 2, and large subunit ribosomal RNA
Source: RNAcentral
CGCACCUUGCGCUCCUUGGUAUUCCGAGGAGCAUGCCUGUUUGAGUGUCAUGGUAUUCUCAACCCCUCUCGCGCUUUUGUGGUGUGAGGGUGGGCUUGGACUUGGAGGUCUCAUGCCGGUCGCUCUCGUUUUGCGGCUGGCUCCUCUGAAACGCAUUAGCUUGAACGUGUCGUGCUUGCGCACAACACACCAGGCAUGGUUUCAGCGUGAUAAAAUAUCUGCGCUGUUCUCAUGGUUGUUUCAGGCUUACAAAACUGAAAAAAAAGCGCUUGUCGUCUUUUUUUCAUUCUGAACAUCUGACCUCAAAUCAGGUAGGACUACCCGCUGAACUUAA